AUGACUCUUCUCUUCCUCAGAGCUCGCUCGCCUUCUGACAGCCCCGACAGCGUCCUGAAGAUCAAGUUUUGUCCUCCCCUGUCUUUCUUCCCCAACUCCUCGUCUUCCCAGGCUGAUCGUUCCUCCUUCAAUAAAGGCAGCCGUGGAGAGUACCAGGACCAGCGCAGGCAGCUCCUGUCCAGCUCUACUCCCCCACCACAUUACACCCUCUUUGAGAGCCACCUGGGAGGUAAGGCCCCCUCACCCUCUGCUCUGGAGUCCAUCUUAAGAGGCCCAGAUGGACGUUUUAUUGUCCAACCCCUGCCAGAGGCGCCUACUCUUUCUAACAUGAAGACAGUCUUCCUACAAACCCAAACCAAUAGAGGAGGCAGCGGCACAGGGAGCAACCGGACAUCUUUCAGAGACUCUCCGAAGUCCAGCAGUCUGAGCUCUGAGAGGGGAGAGGGAAAGGACUCCCCCCUGACAGUGGAGGUUACAGAACUCAGCAAGCCCCCUGCCUCCCCAGGCAGAGUGAGGGCAAUGGCCAGGAACUUCUCCCGUCACGGCUGCUUCUACUCUGAUGACGAGCAGGGCUUCUCAGAGGCUCUGCUGGAGAGAGCCAGUUUCCACUCCGAUAGGAGUGAGAAGAGAGUCUGUGACUCCCUGAAAAGAUACCGAUCUGGGCACCCAGAGGACAUCUUCCCCAGCCUGGGCAGGACAGCCAGACUGCUGGAGAUGGACAGGCAUCACCUUGCAGAUUACCAACCCAUGGAGAGAGAGAGCCAGCUGACUAACGCCAGCACACUGGUCUCACAGAUUGACACAAGUGAACAAAAGAAGGAUAACCUCAGAAAGUGUCGGCAGCUGGCCAAAGAGAGGGAGAUGAUGGAAAGGGAGCUGGAUAACUAUACUGCCAGCCAGAGGGAAAGGGAGUGGGAGAAAGAGGAGAACCAGCUUGAAAAGGCAACAAGCACUAACAGAGAACUGGGCAGUUCAGGGGCUGAGGAUCCUAUAUGGAAGCCACAGGACAUUACCUUACGUCCCAAAGCCCACCGGGCGUCCGGGCAGACCCAUCAGCUGUCGGACUAUAGGAGGGCCUGCUACUUUGGGAACACCAGCAGCCCAAUGGACCGGCUCCCUUCCUCCUACAUCCAAUGGGACAUCAGCCCAGUCACCUCCAUCAGCAGCCUUGUUCCAGUGCAGAGCCCCUUAGAGAGCACCACGCCAAGAUCCCAACAUCCUCACCAACGUCAUGCUGGGCUGUCCAUGGAGGACUCACUACAUGUGGACUGCUCACGCUGCCCAGUCACUCAAUGCACCUCUCCAUCUCAGCUCUCCCCUACCUCAGAAAGACCACCUAUCAGUCAAGGAACAGACAGAAACGUAGGCAGAGCCAGGUCAAGGAGUCCUGACAGAACUGUAGAAAGAGAGCAGGACAUGUAUCGUAGAAGGUCUAUGGUUGAGGAGGGCUGGAGGGAGACAAAACAGUCAGGGGGAGGUGACUUAAAACCAAGAUCGUCCUUUGCUUAUGGUACACAGCAUCUGGAGCCAACAGCUGAAAGAUCUGUUUCAGCAGAGCGAGUGAGGGCCACAGGUUCUGGCCAGCCAUACCCAGGCACUGCACCAUAUAGUCUGUCUGAGAGAACAGAGACAAUGGAUGAUAGGGAGAGAUUAAAUCAAAUUCCCUCUUGUUGCUCUACCUUGCCAUAUGGUUACUCUACCUUGCUCCACAAAGCAGGGGCCAAAGGGAAAGUGAGAGGUGAUCAAAUUAGGGAUGACCCUCAGAGUUCACUGUCAAACCCUGAGCAGGAGAAAGAGGGUGUCAGGGCACGCUCCAGAAGGAGUGAUAGGGCUCUUUUUAGUGACAGCCCCAGUCAAAUUUCCCCCUUAACUCUUCUGGAAGCGUGUGAGAGCGAUCAGUCCCAGUUCUCUGCUGCUAGAAUAACAGAGUCUUUCAAGAAUAAGCCGGCAACCCAGGCACCCAAAAUGUCCCCACUGCAAACAAGUGCAAUUCUGGAGUAUUUGAGCCUCCCGGGUUUCAUUGAGAUGAGUGUGGACAACCCUGGGGAUGAAUCUGAACUCACAGACACUGCUUGCAAAAGCGUAGAGCCACAGACAGACACUUCUCUGGAAGGUAAGCCAGACGUGGUUCCAAAAAACUGGGAUGUUCAUGUGCAGGAGAAGCUAGAGAAAAGUUCAAGCCAAAACACGGUUUCUUUUUUAGAAAACAGACACUUUGUUGGUCCAGCAGGAACUUCAAAGGCAACUGAGAAGCCAGACUAUAGAUUCUCUCUGCAAGUGCAAGCAAGAGAUUCAAGCCACAGUGCUGCGAUUCCAGACAGGUCCAAAAAACUAGCACCCGGGUCAGAAUACACGGGGAAUUAUCGUUAUUAUGAGCAGUCACAACCACUUAUUAGUCAAAAGACAACAGGCUCAGAGAGACCACCAACGAGAAUUGGUUUAAGUCCAGCCCAGACGUUGGCUAGUGCAGCUAAAAGCAUGGCAGAAGUUGUGUUUAAACACACUAAUACUUUUGCAGGGAAACCAGAGUCAGCUUCAGAACAAUUCCAAAGACUUAAUUCUCAGGGCAACAGGACUAAUAAAAUAGCCUCUAGGAUCUAUCAACACCCUGCACCGUUCAUCAAGAAAUCUCUGAGCAUUGGGCCCUGCAGAACUGUUUCAGGCAUGGGACAGCCUCGUCCAUUCAUAAAAAAGUCCAUCAGCUUAGGGUCACAGAAAUUGGAGCAUUUUGAAAGACCAAGGACUUAUGUCUCAGAGAAAUGUUACUGGGAUGAGUUCCCAAACCCAGACGUCCGGGUCAAAUCGUAUAGUUUAGGACGCACCCCUGCAUCCUCCUUUUCCAGACCAGACCCCUCGUGGUGGGAAGGGGUCCAGUUUAGACAGCCGAGUGUAGGAAGCUUGGAGAAGCCUCUGAAUGCUGACAGAUCCUUGGAGAGGCUUCAGUAUGACAGAUCCCUAGCCAGCUCUUCCUAUACCUACCUCAGCCCCUCCAUGUACCCACCAAGACAACCCCCAGUCUCUGUUAGACUAGACUUAUCAGAUCCGUGUAGACAGGCCAGUGCUUAUCCUGAUGCCGCCACGUCGCCUAUCACAUAUCAGGAUGCUCUGAGGUCUGUAGAGCAAAGAUAUGUCUCUAUGAACUCCUCAAUACCCCAGUACCUACCUAGACUAGACCAGUACCUACCCAGACUAGACCAGUACCCACCCAGACCAGACCAGUACACACCCAGACCAGGCAUGAGGGGAGACUACCCCAGACCGAUGGAGUCCAAGAGGGGCCAACUGAGGCCAAACCUGCCCCGGAUGUAUAGCUGGCCUUCACCCUACCAUGGUGGCCCUUUCCCAGCCAGGGAUGUAGACAGUCAUAGAGAGGCAGAGAGAGGGACAGGGAAGGGGGCAGGAGCUGAGGCAGAGAUGAGCGACAACAGGGAAGGAUGGAGGGCCAGUUAUGCCAGUCAGAGCAGUGGGAGAGGUAGCGUUGGCCUCCUCCGUCAGUCCCUCUCUAUCACUCCCAUCCUUCUCAGCUCCCCAGAGACAACAGAGGAAAGUGAGACACAGAGACACAGAGCUGAGAUGGAUCUACGUGAGUGGAGAAAAAAAAGGUGA
This 3606-nucleotide long non-coding RNA is filed under the name Oncorhynchus kisutch (coho salmon). RNAcentral describes it as "lncRNA (ENSOKIG00005016017.1)". Lineage: Eukaryota; Metazoa; Chordata; Actinopteri; Salmoniformes; Salmonidae. The record is from RNAcentral.